AGCCCACUUCCUCCUCCAAAAUAGUCUAGGCCCAAAAUUACUCGCAUCAAACUUGGCCCAAACUCCUAUUGGUCCAAUAACUCCUAGCCCCAAUUAACCCCUUAGCUAAUAAUCCCCAAAUCCUCUUUCCAACUUUUGUCCAAAGACAACCCGUCGGCAAUCCUCACCGGCAAACUACCACCUAUUUCUUCCUUAAUUUGUUACUUUAUUUUUCUUAAAUAUUUUUUAUUUUCCUUUCCUUUUUCCUGUUGUAAUUUCUUUCCUUUUUCCUAUGGUAAUUCAUUUCCUUUCUUUGUAAUUUCUUGCCUUAAUGAUUCUUCAUCAUCAGAGUCCUAAAUUGAAUUGUGAAUAGGCCGAGAUUUUAGCUCUAUUUUUAGUUCAAAUUGAUAUUACACUGGAAGAUUUGAACGCUCCUCCUUCUAUUAGAUGAAUCUAGACAAGUGUUGAGGUAAGUGCUUCCUCUAUUCUUCCUCUUCUCCUAUUAAUUUGAUUUUAAUGUUAAUUUUGGAAGUAAUCGCCAUACUUUUCUUCUUCUAUUUUGAUACUCUAAUUUCGCCCCAACCCCCGAAUCCCUUGUCAACCGGAUCUUAUUUUUUAAAAAUUUCAAAACUUUCCUUUAUUUGAUACAUGCCCUAAGUCUAAAUCAGUACUAUAAAUACCACUAGUUUUAUACACUAGGGACACUUUUUUUCCCACUGCUUUUACCCCUGCCUCACUGCUACUACAGUUUCUUUUCCUUUCGCUACUUCUAUGCUUUGCCGGCCAUAAGCCAAGGCAAAGCUUGGUUUUUUUAAUCGUUCGAUAUAAUCUGGACGUAUCGAGUUUGAGUAUUGGUUUCUCAUUAUUGUUGUUCAAAUUUUUGCACGUAUUAUUAUGUACUUUGGAGGGUAUCUGUCUUAUUUAUUGCUGUUGAAGUUACUGAAUUUAUAAUCUUCUUAUUAUAUCGUUAUUCCACUCUCCAACUGGUUAAUUCCUUGAACGAUGCAUUAUAAUUUCUUUAUGUGUUAGUUGUUUGGAAGAAUAGACUAGUUGUUUGUUCUUUGCUCUCUUAAAUUUUCAUCCAUUUGCGCGCUUUAUUUACACUUGGCUAUGCCGAAUGCCGUGCGACCUUCUAUUGAAAGCAUGCUAAGUUUAAAUGCCCAGUUGCGUCCUUUAAACCUUUUUAUGUGCUUAAUACUGUUUGUGUUGUAAUUUUGGUGCGACUUGACUAUAAAAUUAUAACCAGUUUGACCCGUUUGGAUCAUUCUUUCAACUAGAGAUCAUGAUUUAGACGUAACUAAAUAGAUAAUAGUUUCGUGUAUGUGCAAAUUGUUUUUCGGCUAAACUUUAGUCUAUAUUUGAGUUUCUGCCUUUCACUUAGAAUACUAUGUCCUUAAGACAAAAAGGAUUAAUCUGAUGUUUCUACCUAAAUGAUACAUGCUUGUUCCAUGUGAUUUAAACUACCAUAAUGUGUUCACAUAAUUAUUAUAUCAUUAGGAUACGAAUCACUAUAUACCAGUGUUCAUGUUAGAAAUAAUGACUCUCAAUGUUAAAUUCCAUGUUUAAAUGAGAUAAAUCAUGAUUCUGCCAAAAUUUUGCUCAGCACCUUUAUGUUUGCUAUGAACUCUUACCAUCUGAAGAUGUAUAGCUAAGCCUAGAUAUUGUGUUACUAGGAUACAUAUUCAUCCUAAUGUCAUGUCUUAUGUACUUUAUUAAUGCUUUUGAAAAUCAAGAAGUACGAGUUGAUAUUGUAUUGGUGUCCUAUAGUUGGUUUAAGCUUAAUUUCAUUAUCUUGCUUUUUAAGGAAUAAUCAAUUAAGAAUUUGAUUUCUAUGAUAAAUAUGUCUUCGUUGCCUAUUUCCUUUGCUAUGUUGUGUCUUUAUGUGAUUGGGAUUUGCAGGGGUUUUAAGUUAAGAAAUUUAGUCCAGAAUUGGACUCUUGAGCCAAGAUGAAGUUGCUUGGGAUUCUUAGAAAGGAAGUUUAAGAGUUACCCGUAUUGGAGUCCACUUAAAGACUGAACCUCUUCUAGCUUCAUUUUUUCUAUGUUGUAUUGUUGGCCUUGUAAUUUAGAAGAGGAUUGAGGGGUGGGAUACUUUAUUCUCGCAUGAAUGCAUAGAAAACAUGCCUAUAGUGUCUAUAUGCUUUGUUUGUUACUUUAUUUGACAUGCUCUGUUUUUAUACACCGAUAGAAAGCAUGCCUAUAGGAACUUACACACUUCAUUUUCUUUACAUGUCAUAUUUCCGUACACGGAUAGAAAGCAUGCCUAAAAGAACUUAAGUGUUUCACUCGUUCACAUGCUUCACUUCUACACGAUAUUAGAUAGCAUGCCUAUAAGAUUCAAACAUUAUUGAUUAUUUGCUUAACGUGUGCUAUUGCUGUGUGAUUGCUAGAUAACAUGCCUAUAGGACCAUAAUUGAUGAAUCAGUUACUGUUACUGUUAUUUCUAUCACGUUGCUCGCCUAGAAAGCAUGCCUAUAGGAAUGAAGUGUUAUAGAACCAGUUUCAAUUACCAACUUUUAGAAAUGCUGCCUAUAGGAUGUUGUUACUCGCCUAGAAGGUAUGUCAAUAAAAUCAAACGCAGGUAAUUUUAAGCUUUCAAACGGUUUAUUGCCUCGUUGCGCAAACAAUUUAGAGAUCAUGCCUAUAGGAUUUAUAAUACAUAUAAUCUGCAAAUUCGUUGUUAUGAAACAACAACACUACCUGUACGCUUAAAAAAUAAAAAAAAAUCACAUAGAAGCCAUGUCUAUAGGGCUCAAAUGGCUUUAAUUUGCCUCAAUUCUGAAACUGUCUAACGUCUAAUCUUAGAAUUUAUUUGUGUGCAUUUGUUGUCUAAUUGUGGAGGCUAACUUGAGCCCUUAAUUGCCUUUACACGAAGUCCAACUUGUUUUGUAUGUUCCCUAGUUUUAUCAUUCUGAGCAACCUAAGAAAAGUCUAGAACCACCCUAAAUAGAGGUCCAAUGCCUCCUGGACCAUAGGUAUGGGAUGAGUAUUGCACAUAUAGAGCACGACUUAGAAUUGAAUUAAUGCGCUUCAGGUAAACAACUUUAACAUUGUAAUCGGGUAGUAGGAGAUGAUAGUCUGUGCCCGUUGAAUAAUAUGAGUAACUUCCUAUCUCAAGGGAGUUGCGAAGUAUUAUUUAUGUUGCACGGGGUGAUCCUUUAGGCUAAAAAACUUAGGACCACCCCUCCCCCUCUUUUAUAUGUUGUUAUUAGAUCCAAAUAGUUGUAUCCCUAUAUUCGUACUAAAAUCUGUACUAAUCAUGUUGUAAUGAAAUUCUUUAACCUUUACAUUCGCUUUGUUUAUUUGAUCACUUAGCCUAAUUUUAAUCCACAUAAUCUUAAGUUCGCCCGGGACCCACAGUUGUGGACCUCGAAGAGUGCCUAACACCUUCUCUUUGAGGUAAUUUGAGCCCUUACCCGAUAUUUGGUGACAUUGACUAGUCAAACAGAGUCAUUUGCAUAAUAGGUGCCCUAACACACCUUAAAAACCGUUAGGUGGCGACUCUUCUCUUUUAAUACCUAUCCUCCAUUUAAAAUAGUUAUCACAUGUUGAAAUCCGCUUUCGCGAGAAAACGGGGCGCGACAUCUCUCUCAGCAAGAUUCUCAAUCAUCUCUUUUCUCCCUCAAAUCUCUCUCCCUUUUCCAUCAAGGCAGCCAUCAUAGAAGCUGAUGUUUGGCUAUAAUUCCAUAUUUUUAGUGCAUUAUUUACCUUAUAUUUUGGGGUUUUAAUGCCAAAAUAUACUAUAUUUGUGCUUAAUUGAGUUAUUUUAUGUGUAGGUACGUUGAAGACGAAAUUGAGAGCAAAGUAGAGAUUUUAUGUAUAUUUUAUACACUACAAGAAUGGUGCAUGAUCAUUUAUUGAUUGAAAAUAUUAGAAUGAUAUUAUGGAGCAAUGAUUGAAGAGACAAAUACAAAAGAAGACAAAAGUCAAUUGAAAAAAGAAAAAAAAAACGUGAAUUUGUAAAGUCAGGCAGCAAAUCAACAAAGAGAAACGAAGCAGCAAUGACUGGCAAGGCGAGGGAAUUGUUGCGCGACAGAGCUCGCGUUGCCAGGGUUGGAGUGAGGUGGAGCACGCUAUAGAGGUCGUGGCGCGAGGCCUGUCGCGAGGUGUUCGCGUGUUCCGGGUUUCAGGCCUAUUUUGUCUCCUAUUUGGUUUUGGAUUUGGUUAUUUCGUCUAGGUUUUUCCCUACACAUAUAAAUAGUCACUAAACACCAUUUUGAGAGGGGAUUUGACCUAAGGAGGCAAGAACACACUAGGAGCAAGGUAGGGAAUUCUUCAACGAGUUUUUCACUNN
Molecule: long non-coding RNA, 4273 nt
Filed under: Nicotiana tabacum (common tobacco)
Lineage: Eukaryota; Viridiplantae; Streptophyta; Magnoliopsida; Solanales; Solanaceae
Description: long non-coding RNA (NTAB_LNC017414)
Source: RNAcentral